This 976-nucleotide long non-coding RNA is filed under the name Theobroma cacao (cacao). RNAcentral describes it as "long non-coding RNA (TCAC_LNC000106)". Lineage: Eukaryota; Viridiplantae; Streptophyta; Magnoliopsida; Malvales; Malvaceae. The record is from RNAcentral.
CCAUGUUCAUCAACAAACUCAGUUUUCACCUUUGAUUUUUCUUCGAGAUUAAAAGAGUUGAAAUAUUUUCCUUUAUUUUUUACUACAUUCAUCAUCUUCGUUUAAUCAUGACUUCUAGAGUCUACACAUACUUAAAAUGAUGAUGACACAUUGGGUAAGAACUGAAGCUAGUCAAGAAUUGAAGAGUCUCUACACAUGUAAUUGAUGAUGAAAAAGAUUGGGUGGGUGCUUAAAGUUUUCACCUGUGGUUACUUUUCCUCCGUUACAUUCGUUACCAACCGUUAAUUACAUUCCAUGAAUGAUUAACGAUACCCCCCAUGAAUUGCAAUCCGUAAAUGAAGAAGGUCAUGCUUAUGCAACAUUCAAAGACGGUUGCAACGAAUCGCCACUUAGUCUCCGGGUCCACAGCAACCCGCACAGGUGUUCAUUAGCUUCAUCUUCACCUACUCCAAAACGUUUAUAUUUCCAAAAUUGGGUAGGGGCCGCGCGCACGCAGGCCCCCUCUGCCACAAAUUAUGACGUAGGCUCUCCCACUUGGGGAGACCUUAGACAGAUGCACCACCGAAGUGCAAUGGAGGCCAUCUACCUAGGCCAUGAGCCUUUUUGAUCGCCCAUUGACCCCGUCCAGGUAAGUAUGUUUCCCAGUUCGCCCAUGCUUAUUUUUUAUAGCAGCUGGUCACAUCUCCUCUUCAGUGUUUCGACGGUGUGGGACUCAAGUUGUUAUGUAACGUCAGUCUACUUGUCAGAUAUGGCAAUCGGGAAAAUCUGAAAUGAAUUGUUGAGACUCUCACCUCUCGAGUAACCUCAUGCCUUAUAGUAUGUUGUGAUAUAGGAAAGAUUGGAUUCUGAAGGAAGGAUUCACUUCAACAGUUGGGCCACUCCUCUAGCACUCUGUUUGGCAUUGAAAUUCCAGGCACAAGUCUGCUUCUUGUCCUUGUGACUUGAGAAGCAAGCACCAAGAGGUUCUAAGAUUUUG